AUUGAUGAAGGUCAGCAUGGUAUGCUUCGAGCCUUGGGCGCUCGAGGUCGCCGGUUCAAAUCCGGCCGACCCCA
Molecule: transfer RNA, 74 nt
Filed under: Nitrososphaerota archaeon
Lineage: Archaea; Thermoproteati; Nitrososphaerota
Description: Thaumarchaeota archaeon tRNA-Pro
Source: RNAcentral